CCGAGUUACAACUCCCAAACCCCUGUGAACAUACCUAUAUGUUGCCUCGGCGGAUCAGCCCGCGCCCCGUAAAACGGGACGGCCCGCCGCAGGAUCCACAAACUCUGUUUUUAUUGUAACUUCUGAGUAACAAAACAAAUAAAUC
Molecule: unclassified non-coding RNA, 145 nt
Filed under: soil metagenome
Description: partial internal transcribed spacer 1
Source: RNAcentral